This 440-nucleotide ribosomal RNA is filed under the name uncultured bacterium. Its description in RNAcentral is "partial 16S ribosomal RNA". It matches the Rfam family "Bacterial small subunit ribosomal RNA", at positions 338 to 795 of the family's 1533-position model. The record is from RNAcentral.
CCUACGGGUGGCAGCAGUGGGGGAUAUUGCACAAUGGGGGGAACCCUGAUGCAGCGACGCCGCGUGGGUGAAGGAGCGUUUCGGCGCGUAAAGCUCUAUCGGCAGGGAAGAAGAUGACGGUACCUGACCAAGAAGCCCCGUCCAACUACGUGCCAGCAGCCGCGGUAAUACGGAGGGGGCAAGCGUUAUCCGGAUUUACUGGGUGUAAAGGGGGCGAAGACGGCAAUGGAAGCCAGGAGUGAAAGUCCGGGGCCCAACCCCGGGACUGCUGUUGAAACUGGAUGGCUGGAGUACAGGAGGGGCAGGCGGAAUUCGUGGUGUAGCGGUGAAAUGCAUAGAUAUUAGGAGGAACACCGGUGGCGAAGGCAGCCUGCUAGACUGUGACUGACAUUGAGGCCCGAAGGCGUGGGGAGCAAACAGGAUUAGAUACCCUAGUAGUC